GAUGAACGCUGGCGGCGUGCUUAACACAUGCAAGUCGAACGAAGCACUUUAUUUGAUUUCCUUCGGGACUGAUUAUUUUGUGACUGAGUGGCGGACGGGUGAGUAACGCGUGGGUAACCUGCCUUGUACAGGGGGAUAACAGUUGGAAACGGCUGCUAAUACCGCAUAAGCGCACGGCACCGCAUGAUGCAGUGUGAAAAACUCCGGUGGUAUAAGAUGGACCCGCGUUGGAUUAGCUAGUUGGUGAGGUAACGGCCCACCAAGGCGACGAUCCAUAGCCGACCUGAGAGGGUGACCGGCCACAUUGGGACUGAGACACGGCCCAAACUCCUGCGGGAGGCAGCAGUGGGGAAUAUUGCACAAUGGGCGAAAGCCUGAUGCAGCGACGCCGCGUGAGCGAAGAAGUAUUUCGGUAUGUAAAGCUCUAUCAGCAGGGAAGAUAAUGACGGUACCUGACUAAGAAGCACCGGCUAAAUACGUG
RNAcentral lists this ribosomal RNA (481 nucleotides) under uncultured bacterium. Its description in RNAcentral is "partial 16S ribosomal RNA". It matches the Rfam family "Bacterial small subunit ribosomal RNA", at positions 28 to 507 of the family's 1533-position model. The record is from RNAcentral.